UACAGAGGGUGCGAGCGUUUGUCCGGAAUCACUGGGCGUAAAGGGCGCGUAGGUGGUGGCUUAAGCGUGCGGUGAAAGCUCGGGGCUCAACUCCGAGUCGGCCGUGCGAACUGGGCUCACUGGAGCAUAGUAGAGGCAGGUGGAAUUCCGGGUGUAGCGGUGGAAUGCGUAGAGAUCCGGAAGAACACCGGUGGCGAAGGCGGCCUGCUGGGCUAUGGCUGACACUGAGGCGCGACAGCGUGGGGAGCGAACAGG
RNAcentral lists this ribosomal RNA (255 nucleotides) under uncultured bacterium. RNAcentral describes it as "partial 16S ribosomal RNA". It matches the Rfam family "Bacterial small subunit ribosomal RNA", at positions 524 to 776 of the family's 1533-position model. The record is from RNAcentral.